Corvus hawaiiensis (hawaiian crow) is the source of this 2159-nucleotide long non-coding RNA. RefSeq lists it as uncharacterized. The transcript is spliced from 2 exons. The record is from RefSeq and is a predicted model, not a curated record. Lineage: Eukaryota; Metazoa; Chordata; Aves; Passeriformes; Corvidae.
UGGGUGGAGGGUGCAUGGGGCGGCCCCCGGGGGGGGCGGGGGGGGCGGGUCUGUCCCAGGCGCUGCCGCAGACGCCGGGGCGGUGGCCCCGGCCACCCCCACCCUGCUGCGCACCGGCACCGGGCGGCACCGGGCCCGCUGGGCCGCGCAGGGCGCCGAGCUGGGCACCGGGGGGAGGGGUGAAAUGGCCCGGCCCGAGCACUGCGGCGGGAUGGGACGGAGAUGAAGAUGAGGACACAGGGCUCCGGCUGCUGGUCCAGCCGCUCCCGCUGCCCCCGGCUUCCUGCCCCCGCGGUCCCCGCCGUGCUACUCCAUCUGCUCCCACCUGCUGCCGCCCCGCGCCAGCCAGCCCCGAGCACCGCCGAUGUGGCCGCUGAUGCACGCGGGAGCACCGGGCAGGCUCCACAUCCCCCGUGGGUGCAAUCGCCCGAACGAUGCGGGAGCCCAUCCCUGCGGAACGCAGAGUCCCGGCACGGAGGAGUAUGCUGCCCUUAGGGCAUCCCCUACAGUGCCACCCUCUGUCCGUGCAGCUGUGGCCCUGGGUGACACCUGCAUGGAUUGAGGGCACCUGUCCGGAGCUCUGGGCUUUGGAGCGGCCACAGCUCCGAAAUCAGAGAACAAACGGGCAGGGGACAGUGAGGCCAUCUGCUCCCCGUGUGCGGCUGCUAUUCCAGGCUGGAAAGUGCUGAGGGAUCCAACUGGACCGCGGGCAAGUCGCCACGCACCGGAGAUGGCAGCGCCAUGUCAUGUGCUCAGGGUGAUGGGGCUGGGGACACUGCCUUCCCCUCCUCCCGCUCCUCCUCCCGCUCCUCCUGCUCCUCCUCCUCCUCCUCGAGUCAGCGGCAGCCUGUGGGAGAGAAGAUCCCCCUCGAGGAGGUUGGAGCUGGGGGCUGCAGCCGUGCUGGCUGCUCAGGGCUGUCACCUGCCCUGAGCACGGGGCCAUGCUGCUGCUUUGGGCUGUGACACCCCGGCUCCCCAGUCUGCUGCACUCAGGCAGGGGAGGCAGCCCCAGCCCCACGGGAACCGAGAAGGGCUGAGUGGCAGGGCUGGGGAGCUGUCCCUGGCCUUGUGCCCACCACCCACAGGGGUGGCAGCCCCUCAGAUGGAGGGGACCCCCUUGGAAAAGCCAUGUGGGCAGCAGGACUCUGCAGGUUGGGACGGGAGUGUCCCCUAGCCCUGUGCAGAGGACAGAGGUGUUGGGCCCCUGCCACGGCUCUGCGGGUCCGGACUUGUUCCUGGCCGAGCUGCCGGGGCCCCUGUCCUGCUGGAGGAACACGUGAGUGGCCAGAGGGAUCACACAAGCCUGGCUCGUCCCUGCAAUCCUUCAAGGAAAAGGCCAGCCUGGUGCCUGUCCCCAGGCACGAGCAGCUCCUGUCCCUGUGUCUGUGCUGCCCCACCGUGGCUUGCUGUCAAGGCCAGGAGCAGCCAGACUGGGCCGCUGUGGGGGCGCAUCCCCCCUUCUGUGGGAUCUUUGCCUGCUUGGCGCUGAGUCCUCCCCAAGCCCCAUGGGGAGCAGAGCCACAAUGUUCACUGUGUCCCUGUGACUCAGUUUCCCCACCAGCCCCCGACAGCGUGUCUCUGGCCAAAGUGUCUGCAGGUAACAGACUUAGUUCUCCUGGGCCCCAUCCAAAAGGGAAACUGAGGCACAGAGGAACAAUGUAGCCAUAGGUCACCCUGGAGGUCUGUGGUGACUCUGGGCACUUGGUGAGACCCAAAGCAGGGCAGAUCUCAUCCUGGGAGGGACAUGGGGGGUCACAUCUGUCCUACACAGCUGCAAAGCUGGGGGAGGUUGGGGCCUCCCCAAAGACUGAUUCAUUGAGGCUAUGCCAAGAGCUCGCUGUGAGAUUUGACACUAACCUGGCACAGGGUAUUGGAUCCCCUGAUCCAGCCCUGUCGUGUCCCUCGGUGCAGCUCAGAGCAGGAAGGGGCCACCCAACACAUUGGUUGGGACACUGCCCAAAGGAACUCCUCGAGGCUGAGAGUCCUCACCUUACUGGGGGAGUGAUUGCAGAUUCUGGGUUAGGGGUCCUGUAAUCUUGGGAAUUCUCAAGUCAGUCAGGCACUACCAAUUCCAUUUGACAUCACAAACCUGUAUUUGAAUGUUGGUGGAGGUUUAAUUGGUUUACCUGCUUUAUAAAAUAAAUCUCAUUUGAAUAUGC